Juglans microcarpa x Juglans regia is the source of this 715-nucleotide long non-coding RNA. RefSeq lists it as uncharacterized. The record is from RefSeq and is a predicted model, not a curated record. The transcript has 2 exons. NCBI's taxonomy places the organism in Eukaryota, Viridiplantae, Streptophyta, Magnoliopsida, Fagales, Juglandaceae.
AGAGACCUUAGCCUAAGAUUAUUAAUAAUACCGGUAAAGGAAGUACUCCUUAUAAUCUGUGUGUGAAGUCUGUAGCAGAAGUCUGUUGGACCCGGCCUGCCGCUUUUGUUCUUUGGGAUGCAAGGAAUGAAAAAAGAAUGGAGAUUUGAGGUUUGUGAUCUUAAGCAAGAAACCUGAUCAUGAAAUCACGGGAAGAAGGGAAAGAAUGCCAAUUAAUAGAAGAUUGCCAGUAAAGGAAGAUGAUCAAGAUCAACAAUUGCGUGAAAGCAAUAUCCAACAAAAACAAAGUAACUUACCAAAGCAAGCCUUCACAACCUGAUCAUAAUAAUUCGAAAUCAAGAAGAAGAAAGGGCAUUCCUCGAAGGCACACCUUUAGGGCCCUAAUCUACCCUACAAAACUUGCAUGCACAUGAUGAUCAUGAUUCAGCUGAUCAUGAUCAUUGAUCUGAUCACAAGCCCGACCAUGCAUGUGGGUUUAUUUUACUAAAUCAAAGGGGUAAGCUGUCCAAACGGUGGGUUUGAAAACAAAGGUUAGGUUUAGGUUACUUUCGGGCAAGGGCUAGCUAGCUGGCUUUGCAAAUUAACAGUAUUUGUAUUAUAAAUAUUAAUAUUUCAUGAAACAUGCAAAGUUACUGUAAAUGUUAUCUACAAACACUAGUACUACUAAUGAUAAAGAAUCAACAGCUCAUGAAUACCUAGAUUUUGUUUUCUUGAA